UGUUAACAUUUCAUCCAUUUUUAUUAUUAAAAACUGAUGUGGCUAAUAGAAUAAUCAGACAGUAAUACGUAGUAUGUUAUGUGUACCUCAUGCUGACGUCCAAUACUAGUUUUUAACAACAUAAAUUUAUGUAAUUUUUAACA
Gossypium raimondii (Peruvian cotton) is the source of this 143-nucleotide non-coding RNA. The record is from Rfam. Lineage: Eukaryota; Viridiplantae; Streptophyta; Magnoliopsida; Malvales; Malvaceae.